RNAcentral lists this ribosomal RNA (492 nucleotides) under uncultured bacterium. Its description in RNAcentral is "partial 16S ribosomal RNA". It matches the Rfam family "Bacterial small subunit ribosomal RNA", at positions 29 to 507 of the family's 1533-position model. The record is from RNAcentral.
AGUGAACGCUGGCGGUAGGCCUAACACAUGCAAGUCGAACGGCAGCACAGUAAGAGCUUGCCCGUACGGGUGGCGAGUGGCGGACGGGUGAGGAAUACAUCGGAAUCUACUUUUUCGUGGGGGAUAACGUAGGGAAACUUACGCUAAUACCGCAUACGACCUACGGGUGAAAGCAGGGGAUCUUCGGACCUUGCGCGAUUGAAUGAGCCGAUGCCGGAUUAGCUAGUUGGCGGGGUAAAGGCCCACCAAGGCGACGAUCCGUAGCUGGUCUGAGAGGAUGAUCAGCGACACUGGGACUGAGACACGGGCCAGACUCCUACGGGAAGCCGCAGUGGGGAAUAUUGGACAAUGGGCGCAAGCCUGAUCCAGCCAUACCGCGUGGGUGGAGAAGGCCUUCGGGUGGUGAAGCACUUUUGUUGGGAAAGAAAAGCAGCAGGUUCAUAACCCGCUGUUCUGACGGUACCCAAAGAAUAAGCACCGGCUAACUUCGUG